Molecule: unclassified non-coding RNA, 416 nt
Filed under: soil metagenome
Description: partial contains 5.8S ribosomal RNA, internal transcribed spacer 2, and large subunit ribosomal RNA
Rfam family: 5.8S ribosomal RNA (bases 1-120)
Source: RNAcentral
GAUGAAGAACGCAGCGAAAUGCGAUAAGUAAUGUGAAUUGCAGAAUUCAGUGAAUCAUCGAAUCUUUGAACGCACCUUGCACUCCUUGGUAUUCCGAGGAGUACGCCUGUUCGAGUGUUAUGAAGCUCUCAAAACGCAAUUGGCUUAAAACCUGAUUGUUGUUUUGGAUUUGAACUUUGCCGUGUUAUAACGGCUGGUUUUAAAAGUAUUAGCUGGUACUAGAACGAAUUGGUUCUACUCAACGUGAUAAUUAUCUGAUCGUUGAGGACAUUCCUUUCACGAGGAAUGGCCAUAGUAAAUUCAAUGGACUGCUUCUAAUCUGGCUUUAAUUCUUUAUUGGAUUAACCACUUUUCAAAUCUGACCUCGAAUCAGGCGGGACUACCCGCUGAACUUAAGCAUAUCAAUAAGCGGAGGA